UACGUAGGGUGCAAGCGUUGUCCGGAAUUAUUGGGCGUAAAGAGCUCGUAGGCGGUUCGUCGCGUCGGCUGUGAAAACCUGAGGCUCAACCCUGGGCCUGCAUUCGAUACGGGCAGACUAGAGUAUGGCAGGGGAGACUGGAAUUCCUGGUGUAGCGGUGAAAUGCGCAGAUAUCAGGAGGAACACCGGUGGCGAAGGCGGGUCUCUGGGCCAAAACUGACGCUGGAGGAGCGAAAGCGCGGGGAGCGAACGGG
RNAcentral lists this ribosomal RNA (254 nucleotides) under uncultured bacterium. Its description in RNAcentral is "partial 16S ribosomal RNA". It matches the Rfam family "Bacterial small subunit ribosomal RNA", at positions 524 to 776 of the family's 1533-position model. The record is from RNAcentral.